Molecule: ribosomal RNA, 496 nt
Filed under: uncultured bacterium
Lineage: Bacteria
Description: partial 16S ribosomal RNA
Rfam family: Bacterial small subunit ribosomal RNA
Source: RNAcentral
AUGAACGCUGGCGGCGUGCCUAAUACAUGCAAGUCGAGCGAACAGACGAGGAGCUUGCUCCUCUGACGUUAGCGGCGGACGGGGGAGUAACACGUGGAUAACCUACCUAUAAGACUGGGAUAACUUCGGGAAACCGGAGCUAAUACCGGAUAAUAUAUUGAACCGCAUGGUUCAAUAGUGAAAGACGGUUUUGCUGUCACUUAUAGAUGGAUCCGCGCCGCAUUAGCUAGUUGGUAAGGUAACUGCUUACCAAGGCAACGAUGCGUAGCCGACCUGAGAGGGUGAUCGGCCACACUGGAACUGAGCCACGGUCCAGACUCCUACGGGAGGCAGCAGUAGGGAAUCUUCCGCAAUGGGCGAAAGCCUGGCGGAGCAACGCCGCGUGAGUGAUGAAGGUCUUCGGAUCGUAAAACUCUGUUAUUAGGGAUGAACAAAUGUGUAAGUAACUAUGCACGUCUUGACGGUACCUAAUCAGAAAGCCACGGCUAACUACGUG